RNAcentral lists this ribosomal RNA (252 nucleotides) under uncultured bacterium. RNAcentral describes it as "partial 16S ribosomal RNA". It matches the Rfam family "Bacterial small subunit ribosomal RNA", at positions 524 to 776 of the family's 1533-position model. The record is from RNAcentral. RNAcentral also lists the same sequence under 1 other name.
UACGUAGGGGGCGAGCGUUGUCCGGAUUUAUUGGGCGUAAAGGGUUCGCAGGCGGUCUCUUAAGUUAGAUGUGAAAGAUCACGGCUCAACCGUGGUAAGCAUUUAAAACUGGGAGACUUGAGUUAAGGAGAGGAAAGUGGAAUUCCUAGUGUAGCGGUGAAAUGCGUAGAUAUUAGGAGGAAUACCAGUGGCGAAGGCGACUUUCUGGACUUAUACUGACGCUGAGGAACGAAAGCGUGGGGAGCAAACAGG